ACCGCGAUAGCUCAGUUGGUAAAGCAACUGCCCGGUGAGCGGACUGUCGCCGGUUCGACUCCGGCUCGCGGCG
RNAcentral lists this transfer RNA (73 nucleotides) under Fasciola hepatica (liver fluke). It matches the Rfam family "tRNA". Rfam says of the family: Transfer RNA (tRNA) molecules are approximately 80 nucleotides in length. Their secondary structure includes four short double-helical elements and three loops (D, anti-codon, and T loops). The record is from Rfam by way of RNAcentral. Lineage: Eukaryota; Metazoa; Platyhelminthes; Trematoda; Plagiorchiida; Fasciolidae.